UCAGUCUUAACAUUUAUACUGAAAACAAACUUGCUGAAUAAUGGCAAAUUUAAACUUAUUGAGGGUUUUUUUUUUUUAUAUGACAGCAGACACAUCAAAUAAUGUCUGAAAGCCCAAGCCAUUGGAGGAUACAUACAGAUAUCACUUCAGAAGACAGAUGCAUCAAUGCUUUUAAAGGGAGAGGUGUUCAGCUGUACUGAGUUUGAUAAAGGGGAUUUUCUGCUGAGGAGACUCGAGCAGUGAAGAAUAUAUCAUCAUGAUGCCCUCAAAGUUAUCAUGUUUGAGUUUCAUUACGAUGGAAAACUCCUCUGGCUACAUCAAAAAUAAAUUCAAUGUUGAAGCAAAUAUAAUUAAGCAUUCUCCUAGCAAUGCGCAGACGAAUGCAAGUUGGCAAAAAGGCACCACAGUGAUUGUGUCAGUGUGUGUAAACCAGACUGAUUUCUGGAACAUUGUAUUUGAACAUUAAACAUUUUUGUUUGUUUGUUUUUGUCUGUAAUGAAGCCUGUCAUGAAUAUAAUCUAGACAGUAAAAAAAGGUAAUACAUUCAAUAUAAUUCAAGUUAUGAAAGAAGACUAAAUUAAUUGAAAUAAAAAAUGAAAAUAAAACAUGAAUUUGUUGAUUUGUCUCAUUUCAAAUCACGUCUGACAUUUAUAAUGUGACUGCAGGUUAUGCAACAGGCAUUGAACAAUGAAAAGUGUCUACAUUGAGGUGUUUAAGUAAACCGUAAAACACAAUCAAAAACUACCAUUGGUUAGUUAAGGAUACAGAAGAUUAAAAAAUAAAUAAAUAAAUACAAAAUUACAUAUAGUCCUGAAUAGGAAUAGGGGCCCAUUUGGAUCCUAUUAAAAUCCUGUAGAAAUUAUCCUACAGGAUAUUUAUUUAUUGUCUUAUAAGACAAUUCCCACAGAA
Long non-coding RNA from Megalobrama amblycephala (Wuchang bream), 909 nucleotides. RefSeq lists it as uncharacterized. The transcript is spliced from 3 exons. Lineage: Eukaryota; Metazoa; Chordata; Actinopteri; Cypriniformes; Xenocyprididae. The record is from RefSeq and is a predicted model, not a curated record.